This 773-nucleotide ribosomal RNA is filed under the name Citrobacter amalonaticus. RNAcentral describes it as "partial 23S ribosomal RNA". It matches the Rfam family "Bacterial large subunit ribosomal RNA", at positions 419 to 1193 of the family's 2925-position model. Lineage: Bacteria; Pseudomonadati; Pseudomonadota; Gammaproteobacteria; Enterobacterales; Enterobacteriaceae. The record is from RNAcentral.
GGGACACGUGGUAUCCUGUCUGAAUAUGGGGGGACCAUCCUCCAAGGCUAAAUACUCCUGACUGACCGAUAGUGAACCAGUACCGUGAGGGAAAGGCGAAAAGAACCCCGGCGAGGGGAGUGAAAAAGAACCUGAAACCGUGUACGUACAAGCAGUGGGAGCCUCUUUUAUGGGGUGACUGCGUACCUUUUGUAUAAUGGGUCAGCGACUUAUAUUCUGUAGCAAGGUUAACCGAAUAGGGGAGCCGAAGGGAAACCGAGUCUUAACUGGGCGUUAAGUUGCAGGGUAUAGACCCGAAACCCGGUGAUCUAGCCAUGGGCAGGUUGAAGGUUGGGUAACACUAACUGGAGGACCGAACCGACUAAUGUUGAAAAAUUAGCGGAUGACUUGUGGCUGGGGGUGAAAGGCCAAUCAAACCGGGAGAUAGCUGGUUCUCCCCGAAAGCUAUUUAGGUAGCGCCUCGUGAAUUCAUCUCCGGGGGUAGAGCACUGUUUCGGCUAGGGGGUCAUCCCGACUUACCAACCCGAUGCAAACUGCGAAUACCGGAGAAUGUUAUCACGGGAGACACACGGCGGGUGCUAACGUCCGUCGUGAAGAGGGAAACAACCCAGACCGCCAGCUAAGGUCCCAAAGUCAUGGUUAAGUGGGAAACGAUGUGGGAAGGCUCAGACAGCCAGGAUGUUGGCUUAGAAGCAGCCAUCAUUUAAAGAAAGCGUAAUAGCUCACUGGUCGAGUCGGCCUGCGCGGAAGAUGUAACGGGGCUAAACCAUGCA